Molecule: ribosomal RNA, 28 nt
Filed under: Peziza ellipsospora
Lineage: Eukaryota; Fungi; Ascomycota; Pezizomycetes; Pezizales; Pezizaceae
Description: partial 28S ribosomal RNA
Source: RNAcentral
GACCUCAGUCAGGUAGGAUACCCGGAGA